GAUGAACGCUAGCUGCAGGCUUAACACAUGCAAGUCGAGGGGAAACGAUAUUGGAAGCUUGCCUCUGAUAGGCGUCGACCGGCGCCCGGGCGAGUAACGCGUAUCCAUCCUGCACACCACUUGGGGAUAACCUUGCGAAAGUAAGACUAAUACCCAAUGAUAUUUAUAGAAGGCAUCCGCAAUGAAUUAAAGAUUUAUAGGUGAUGGAUGGGGAUGCGUCUGAUUAGCUUGUUGGCGGGGUAACGGCCAACCAAGGGGACGAUCAGUAGGGGUUCUAAGAGGAAGGUCCCCCACAUUGGAACUGAGACACGGUCCAAACUCCUACGGGAGGCAGCAGUGAGAAAUAUUGGUCAAUGGGCGAGAGCCUGAACCAGCCAAGUAGCGUGCAGGAUGACGGCCCUAUGGGUUGUAAACUGCUUUUAUAGGGGAAUAAAGUUAGCUACGUGUAGUUUUUUGCAUGUACCCUAUGAAUAAGGACCGGCUAAUUCCGUGCCAGCAGCCGCCGUAA
Molecule: ribosomal RNA, 508 nt
Filed under: uncultured bacterium
Lineage: Bacteria
Description: partial 16S ribosomal RNA
Rfam family: Bacterial small subunit ribosomal RNA
Source: RNAcentral